This 499-nucleotide ribosomal RNA is filed under the name uncultured bacterium. RNAcentral's name for it is "bacterial SSU rRNA". It matches the Rfam family "Bacterial small subunit ribosomal RNA", at positions 28 to 520 of the family's 1533-position model. The record is from RNAcentral.
GAUGAACGCUAGCUACAGGCUUAACACAUGCAAGUCGAGGGGUAGCACGGAGGAAGCUUGCUUCCUUGGGUGACGACCGGCGCACGGGUGAGUAACGCGUAUCCGACCUACCCAUAACUCGGGCACAGCCGCUCGAAAGAGUGAUUGAUUCCCGAUAUGUCCUUGGAGUAGAUUCAAUGAUGAAAGAUUUAUCGGUUAUGGAUGGGGAUGCGUAAGAUUAGGUAGUAGGCGGGGUAACGGCCCACCUAGCCGACGAUCUUUAGGGGUUCUGAGAGGAAGGUCCCCCACACUGGUACUGAGACACGGACCAGACUCCUACGGGAGGCAGCAGUGAGGAAUAUUGGUCAAUGGGCGGAAGCCUGAACCAGCCAAGUAGCGUGAAGGAUUACAGCCCUACGGGUUUUAAACUUCAUUUAUAUAAGAGUAAUGUGCACUACGUGUAGUGUAUUGCAAGUAUUAUAUGAAUAAGCAUCGGCUAACUCCGUGCCAGCAGCCGCGG